Long non-coding RNA from Oncorhynchus masou masou (cherry salmon), 2700 nucleotides. RefSeq lists it as uncharacterized. NCBI's taxonomy places the organism in Eukaryota, Metazoa, Chordata, Actinopteri, Salmoniformes, Salmonidae. The transcript is spliced from 2 exons. The record is from RefSeq and is a predicted model, not a curated record.
AGGAAGGAGAGGGGGUGGAGGAGAGGAAUGGGAGAGGGAUGGGAGAGAGAGGAGAAGGAUGGGCGAGACAGGAGAGAGGAGGAUAUUCUGUUGGGCCGUAAAAGGAUGGUUGACCUGAGCUCCCCAUGAACAUCAGUCUCAAAUCUUUUUCUCUCUGUCUCUGUCCUUUGCUCUCUCUCUGUCUCUGUCCUUUGCUCUCUCUCUGUCUCUGUCCUUUGCUCUCUCUCUGUCUCUCACUAUUUCUCUCUCUCUCCCUCUCUCUCUCACACACACACACACUACUGAAAAAUGAAUGGGGAGGCAUGUGAGCGAGAGGGUAGAUGUACGGCGUGUCACAGUCACAAAGGCUUAACAGAGCGCCUGGCAUCACGCUGCAGAACCAUUGGGUGAUUACAUUCAGAAUCCAGUCAGCACUGUCGUCUCUCUGUGUGUCAGUGUAUGUCAAGUGGAAUCACUCUGUGUGUGUGUAACAGAGAAACAGACCAGACCAACAGACAUAGGAGCAGUCCAGACCAACAGACAUAGGAGCAGACCAGACCAACAGACAUAGGAACAGUCCAGACCAACAGACAUAGGAACAGUCCAGACCAACAGACAGAGGAACAGACCAGACCAACAGACAUAGGAACAGACCAGACCAACAGACAUAGGAACAGUCCAGACCAACAGAGAGAGGAACAGUCCAGACCAACAGACAGAGGAACAGACCAGACCAACAGACAGAGGAACAGUCCAGACCAACAGACAGAGAAACAGACCAGACCAACAGACAGAGGAACAGACCAGACCAACAGACAUAGGAACAGUCCAGACCAACAGAGAGAGGAACAGUCCAGACCAACAGACAGAGGAACAGACCAGACCAACAGACAUAGGAACAGACCAGACCAACAGACAGAGGAACAGACCAGACCAACAGACAUAGGAACAGACCAGACCAACAGACAGAGGAACAGACCAGACCAACAGACAGAGGAACAGACCAGACAAACAGACAGAGGAACAGACCAGACCAACAGACAUAGGAACAGACCAGACCAACAGACAGAGGAACAGACCAGACCAACAGACAGAGGAACAGACCAGACCAACAGACAGAGAAGCAGAAGAACCCCAGACCAUGCUGCUGAGUGACUGUGUGCACCGGAGUGUGUCUAUUGGUGUGUGUCUGUGUGUGUAUCUGUGUGUGUAUUGGUGUGUAUCUGUGUGUGUAUUGAUGUGUAUCUGUGUGUGUAUUGAUGUGUAUCUGUGUGUUUAUUGAUGUGUAUCUGUGUGUGUAUUGGUGUGUAUCUGUGUGUGUAUUGGUGUGUAUCUGUGUGUGUAUUGGUGUGUAUCUGUGUGUGUAUUGAUGUGUAUCUGUGUGUGUAUUGAUGUGUGUAUCGGUGUGUGUAUUGGUGUGUAUCGGUGUGUAUCUGUGUGUGUAUCUGUCUGUGUGUAUAUCUGUGUGUGUAUUGGUUUGUUACUGUGUGUGUAUUGGUGUGUCUUUUUGUGUCAGAUGACAGUGGUAUGGUGCUCAGGAAGAGCUGGCCGUGGAGUUGGUCGUUAAUGCUGUCUCUCCUCUCUCUGUCUACUCACGUCUAACCACCUCUCUUCCUCUUUCUAUCCCCCUCUCUCUCUUUGAAACUUUCUCCCUCCUUUCUCCCUAGGUGUUGUCAUGAAGUUGCCUUCUUUGGGUACAGCGAGUACCAUCCCCCUCUCUCUGUCUCCUACAACUAGGCUGCUGUGGUCAGAGAGGUCAUAAAUUCCUGGAGGAGAUGAUCUCCUCAUGGCCACAGUGAAUUUUCAUAGAGAACAAAGGAAUUUCUUCCACCUCACAGAACUUGAGGUCCGAACAACAUUUAUGUUCCGGAGAAGGUAUAAAAGAUCGGUGAAGAAUCCAGCUACAAACUGGUCCGUUUGGUGCAAUUUGGGGAAGCUCAUGGGAGACGGUGUGGCCACAUUACCAUAACUCUGUUUAUAUAAUAGCCUCAGAUAUGAGGUUUACAUCUAAUUGUUGUAUAAGAUGAAUGAGUGAGGAUGAUACUGUUUGUGUAAUGUGAUUUUGGACUUUUUAAUGAAGGAAACUCCAAUUCCCCUUUGAGUUUAACUAAAUCAGAGGACCGCCCAUGAACCCAGACCAGCUUACCUCGAUAACAAGAGGGCCAAGGUUUGAGAUGAUUGCUGAAUCUUUUAACCAUCCCACGUGGUUAAACUCUUAGACUAUGGAUACCGACAGAAUAAGAACAAGUCUUUGAUAUUAAUUACUAGUCUGCAGCUAGGAAUUCGGUAUCAUUGAACUCGAAGAACGACAACCGCCGAAACAUCUAUAUCGAAAUGAAUGAAUGUCACUCUGAACUAUUCAUUCUAACCACGACAGAGAGACAGAGAGAGAGAGAGAGAGAGGACGAAAACUCUUCAACAGAAACAAACUUUUCAGCAGAGAUCCCGACGACACACUGAGCGUAAAAAUAUAUAUUAAUUGCAACUGUUCCCGAAUGAGUGAGCAUUUUGGGGCAAAUGAUUAGCAUUUCAAUUGUUAUAAUUAUCAACUAUCUUAUCUCAGUCGACCCCCACUUCCCUGUUGUACACCAAGCCGCCAUGCCGGUUUAGCCCACUAGAGCACAUUCCCCUAUCAUUUCUUGUAACCAUAUUUACUUUGUUUGUUUGUGUGUGCACUUCUGUGAUUGUUUAGUUAGUUAAUAAAUAAAUGAUUUAAGACAA